This 492-nucleotide ribosomal RNA is filed under the name uncultured bacterium. RNAcentral's name for it is "partial 16S ribosomal RNA". It matches the Rfam family "Bacterial small subunit ribosomal RNA", at positions 29 to 507 of the family's 1533-position model. The record is from RNAcentral.
AGUGAACGCUGGCGGCAUGCCUAACACAUGCAAGUCGAACGGCAGCACGAUAAGCCUUUGUCCCUACGGGUGGCGUGGGGCGGGUGGGUGACACAUAGAUCAGCAUCCACUUUUUCGGGGGUGACUUCGUAGAACCAGUUCCGAUAACAGCACAUACUAUGAACGGGAGAGUUCAGGAGAGCAAGGCACCCUGCCCGAUUGUAAGAGCCGGUGUCGGAUUAGCUAGUUGGUGUGGUAAGGGCACACCAAGGCGACGAUCCGUAGCUGGUCUGAGAGGAUGAUCAGCCACACUGGAACUGAGACACGGUCCAGACUCCUACGGGAGGCAGCAGUGGGGAAUAUUGGACAAUGGGCGAAAGCCUGAUCCAGCAAUGCCGCGUGGGUGAAGAAGGCCUUCGGGUUGUAAAGCUCUUUUGUUGGGAAAGAAAAGCAGCGGGUUAAUACCUGGCUAUUCUGACGGUACCCAAAGAAUAAGCACCGGCUAACUACGUG